CAAGAAAAUAAGGGAUUUGCGACAGUUCAUUUGCGACUAUUAAGUCAAAACUGUCGCAAUGUCUCUAUUUUCAAAAUUUUGCAACAGUAUAUGCGACAGUUUUGGCAACCGUUGCAACUUUUGGAUCUAAAACCAAAUUUGAAGUUAGCGCUAAGUGAAUUUGUGUGAACUCUUUCCCUCACUUAGAUAAACUGAAAUCCCUCUUUCACUUUUUGUCAUAUACAAAAAAAACCCCUCAAAUCCCUAAAAUCAUUUUCCAAAUCUCUCGAAUCAACGAAGAAGCUUCUCCUAUAUUACAAAUCACUCUCCAAAUCGUGUUCCCCUUCAUCGUUCCCAUUAACGAAGCUUCAUCGUUCGCUUUCUCUUCUAGUUUCGCUAUCUCAUUAUGUUUCCGACAACGAGCUUCUCUUUCACCACUCAGGUUCCCGCCGCACACCCGUCAGUGACGUCGAUCUCCGCCGACACACCCUCCACGGUUUAGACGUUCAGGGGUUUGGUCAUUAAUGCAAUUCUUUACUUUACUCACGCAAAUAAUGAUUGGAUUAAGCUAAAGAUAGAAGCAUUUCUCAGCCAAUUUCUUAAGUCUGCUGCCAAUUUUUAACUCUGCUGCUGAUUUUGUAACUCUGCUGCCGUUUUCGUAAUUGAAUAAGAAGAAUCAAGAGAUGAUUAAGGAUCAUGAAGCAACAUAACAUACUAGGGAUUUUUUUUUAUUUUUUUCCUUUUAGAGAGUUUCAAGUUAUUUAAUUAAAUAUUUUAUGUAUGGAUGUUGUCACUAUCGAAUUAAUUAUAUAAAUGAGAUUGAGUUAUUUAUAUA
This is a long non-coding RNA of Trifolium pratense (red clover), 814 nucleotides long. RefSeq lists it as uncharacterized. NCBI's taxonomy places the organism in Eukaryota, Viridiplantae, Streptophyta, Magnoliopsida, Fabales, Fabaceae. The record is from RefSeq and is a predicted model, not a curated record. The transcript is spliced from 3 exons.